AUUUUUGCUAUAGUGGGCUGAAAGCACCUGAUCUCCUCUCAAUUUGGAAGCUAAGCAGACCAGGACCUGUGAAUAGCUGGUUGGGCGAAAAUC
RNAcentral lists this ribosomal RNA (93 nucleotides) under Coturnix japonica (Japanese quail). Lineage: Eukaryota; Metazoa; Chordata; Aves; Galliformes; Phasianidae. The record is from RNAcentral.